This is a transfer RNA of 73 nucleotides. It matches the Rfam family "tRNA". Rfam says of the family: Transfer RNA (tRNA) molecules are approximately 80 nucleotides in length. Their secondary structure includes four short double-helical elements and three loops (D, anti-codon, and T loops). The record is from Rfam.
GCCCAGAUAGCUCAGUCGGUAGAGCAGAGGACUGAAAAUCCUCGUGUCGGUGGUUCGAUUCCGCCUCUGGGCA